RNAcentral lists this ribosomal RNA (3066 nucleotides) under Triticum aestivum (bread wheat). RNAcentral's name for it is "partial small subunit ribosomal RNA". The record is from RNAcentral. Lineage: Eukaryota; Viridiplantae; Streptophyta; Magnoliopsida; Poales; Poaceae.
AUGGCAGUCGUAUUAACUCCUCUCGUUGGAUCAUGUGUCAAUAGGUUGCUAGAUAUCAUAGCAGAUGAGACAAUUAUGAUCCUAGGGGCGAAAGACGAUCUUGAUAUUCUACACCAAACAAUACAUCAUAUACAAUACUAUCUUCAGGAUGCCGAGCAAAGGAGAAUGGACGAUUUAGCAGUUAACAACUGGCACGGUGAGCUACGGGAUGCAAUCGAUGAGGCUGAUGAUAUUUUCGACCUAAUUGAAGGAAGGAAGCUACUUAAAGAUAGUCCUUCAUCAUCAAGAAAUACACCUGCAUGUAGUGGCAUUUCAUUCUUAUCUUGCUUUACUGAUAUUCUGAAGCGUCAUGACAUUGCUGGUAAAAUCAGAAAGGUCAACACCAGAAUAGAGAAUAUCUCAAAGCUGGGUCAAAGUUUUCUAACACGUUGUGAUGUGGCACCUGUUGGUCAAAGAGCAAUAUCCAGACCAAGAAAGAGUUCCAACCUUGUUGAACCUAACCUUGUUGGGGAGGAGAUCAAACAUUCUAGUAGGAAGUUGGUGGAGUUGGUGCUUGCAAACAAGGAAAAUAAGUAUUACAAACUUGCAAUUGUUGGAACUGGAGGAGUUGGCAAGACAACACUAGCUCAAAAAAUAUUCAAUGAUGAAAGAAUAAAGGGGAACUUCAAGAAACACAUGUGGAUCUGUGUAUCACGAGAUUAUAAUGAAGUUAUUCUUAUGAAAGAGGUGCUAAGAAGUAUCGGAGUUCGUUAUGACACAGAUGAAAAUGAGGGGGAGCUUAGUAGCAAGCUCAAAGCAGCCAUUCAAGAGGAAAGCUUCUUCCUUGUGUUGGAUGAUGUUUGGCAGUCUAAUGUGUGGACUGAUCUACUGAGAAUCCCAUUGGAUGCUGCUGCUACUGGGGUGGUUCUAGUAACUACUAGAGAUGAUACAGUUACACGGGCAAUUGGGGUGGAAGAUGUGCACCGUGUUAAGUUGAUGCCCAUAGACGUGGGAUUGGAGCUGCUCUGGAAGAGUAUUAACACCAAAGAAAGGGAUGUGCCCGAUAAUCUGCGUGAUAUUGGGCUGGUUAUAGUCAGGAAAUGCGGUGGAAUUCCUCUUGCUAUCAAGGUUACUGCUAGUGUUCUAGCAACAAAAGAGAAAACUGAAAACGAGUGGAAAAAGUUUAUAGAUAGAAGUGCUUGGUCUGUGAGCAAUGUUCCUACAGAGCUAAGAGGUGCUUUGUAUUUGAGUUAUGAUGAUCUACCACGAUAUCUGAAGCAAUGUUUCCUGUAUUGUGCCUUAUAUCCAGAAGAUCAGUUUAUGUUGCGUGACGAUCUUGUAAGGUUUUGGGUCGCCGAAGGUUUUAUAGAAAAACGACAAGAACAACUUCUGGAAGAUACAGCUGAGGAAUAUUACUAUGAGCUGAUACACAGGAAUCUCCUUCAACCAGACCCUAGAUUUUAUGACCAUAGGUGGAGCAAAAUACAUGACCUUUUAAGGCAACUUGCUCAACAUUUAUCAGGUAGAGAAAUAUUUUUUGGAGACCUACAGUCAUUGGAGGCUAAAGAUUUGUCCAAUCGACGACGCAUUUCAGCUUUUACUGACAAGGAUUCUGUAAUGCUCUCCAAUGUGGGUCAGGAGCAUAUUAUUAGAGCAAGGACAUUGAUGAUUCGCUCUCGCAAGACACCAAGAAUUGCAAAUACAAUAUUCAGGAGACUUCCAUCCAUCCGAGUUUUGGAUCUGACGGAUUCAUCUAUAGAAAGUAUUCCAGAUUGCAUUGGAAGUUUGAUACAUCUACGAUUACUUGAUCUUGAUGGGACAAUCAUAACUUAUCUUCCAAAGACCAUAGGUUUUCUCAUAAACCUACAAAUACUGAAUUUACAGAGGUGUAAUGCUUUGCGCAACCUUCCUAUGGAAAUCAAUCAGCUGUGCAAAUUAAGACGCCUUGGUCUUGGCGGUACAACAAUAGAUCGGGUUCCCAACGGGAUAGGUAAAUUAAAAUUUCUUAAUGAUUUAGAAGGAUUUCCCAUUGGCAAUGGAAAUGAUAAUACAAAAACACAAGAUGGUUGGAACUUGGAAGAGUUGGCUCCACUUUUGCAGAUGCGGCAGCUUCAUAUGAUUAAAUUGGAAAGAGCAGCUCCCUGUAGUACCACUACCAGUGAAAUACUAAAAGACAAAAGGCAUCUCAGAGUUUUGAAUCUAGAAUGCACUGAACGAACAGAAGUAUAUUCAGAAGAAGAAAUUAGCAAUAUUGAGACGAUCUUUGCUCGGUUAAUCCCUCCCCGCAACCUUGAAGACCUAUACAUCACAGGAUUCUUUGGUCAGAGGUAUCCCGCCUGGCUUGGUACUUCCCAUUUGUCUUCAGUGAAACAGCUGUACCUCACAAAAUGUAAAUCAUGCGUGCAUCUUCCACCAAUGGGGCAGCUACCCAAUCUGAGAUAUCUGAAAAUUGUGGGGGCAGCAGCAAUAAACAAGAUUGGACCUGAAUUUCAUGGUUGCAGGGAGACUAGUCCCGGAUCUUUGGGGGUAGUUGCUUUUCCCAAGCUUGAAAUGUUGGACAUAAUAGAUAUGCCCAACUGGGAAGAGUGGUGCUUUGUUGAAGAAAGAGAAAAUGAUGCAACAGUAGGGAUAGGAGGGGAAGAUGAUGGAGGUGUUGAUAUACAAAAUCGGGACGGCGUAUCUUCAUUUCUGCAGCUGCUGCCUCGUUUGAAGGAGCUGAGACUCGAUGGCUGCCCCAAGCUGAGAGCCCUCCCAUGGCAGCUUGGAAAGGAGGCCACAAGUUUGAAGAAGCUCAAAUUAGGAGGAACAAGCUGCUUGAAGGUGGUAGAUGGCCUUUUGUUCCUCACUGAGACCCUACAAAUCAUGGGCUGUGAGGGUCUGGAGAGGGUAUCGAGUUUUCCACAAGUGAGGGAGCUGCGUGCACAGGCUUGUCCAAAGUUAGAGCGUGUUAAUGGAUUCGGCAAUUUGCAGCACUUGUGGUUGGCUGAGGAUAUGGAACAGAUCGCCAGGCGUUGGGUGCCAGGGCUUCAAGAACAGCACCAGCGACUUCAUAAGGAAGGCAUUGAUGUCCACACAUGGAUUUACUAG